This 391-nucleotide ribosomal RNA is filed under the name uncultured bacterium. RNAcentral's name for it is "partial 16S ribosomal RNA". It matches the Rfam family "Bacterial small subunit ribosomal RNA", at positions 523 to 918 of the family's 1533-position model. The record is from RNAcentral.
AUACAUAGGGGGCAAGCGUUAUCCGGAAUUAUUGGGCGUAAAGCGUGCGUAGGCGGUUUAUUAAGUCUGCUGUUAAAUCCCACAGCUCAACUGUGGGCUGCCAUUGGAAACUGGUAGACUUGCGUGCGGACGAGGUAAGUGGAAUUCAAAGUGGAGAGGUGGAAUGAGUAGAUAUUUGGAGGAACACCAGUGGCGAAUGUGUCUUACUGAGCCGUUACUGACGCUGAGGCACGAAAGCGUGGGGAGCAAACAGGAUUAGAUACCCUGGUAGUCCACGCCGUAAACUAUGAGCACUAAGUGUCGGAUGAAUUUUCGGCGCUGCAGUUAACACAAUAAGUGCUCCGCCUGGGGAGUACGGUCGCAAGACUGAAACUCAAAGGAAUUGACGGGG